Molecule: transfer RNA, 67 nt
Filed under: Busonia albilateralis
Lineage: Eukaryota; Metazoa; Arthropoda; Insecta; Hemiptera; Cicadellidae
Description: tRNA-Leu
Source: RNAcentral
AUUAGAGUGGCAGAUUAGUGUAAUAAAUUUAGAAUUUAUUUUAAAUAGAGGUUAUCUAUUUCUAAUA